Molecule: RNA transcript, 548 nt
Organism: Vigna angularis (adzuki bean)
Lineage: Eukaryota; Viridiplantae; Streptophyta; Magnoliopsida; Fabales; Fabaceae
Exons: 3
Source: RefSeq, a predicted model, not a curated record
UUAACACAAACAACAAUGGCAGUCACACAUGCUGACCUUGAACCAAAGAGAAGAAAAACAGAUUUGAGUAGCAAAACAGGUGCCUUUCUCAUGGCUCUCACAAUCCUAUUGGGCCUAUUCUGCUUCGUUCUGUGUCUCAUAGCAGAAGCCACACGUUCGAAGGUGAUAUGGAUGAGCAGAGAUGUAAAUGGAAAGGGAAGUAAAUCAGAAUGUGUUUACAGUGGCAGUGGGAAAAGGCCAUUGUUAUGCGCUUCUUGUGCUUUCAUUGGACUAGCAUUGGCCAUAUUGGUGGAGCACACUUUCAUGUUGAUAGCAGUUAGUAAUUCAUCUCCUGCAUUACUCACAUUGGAUCCUGAUUCUGCUUCUGCCAAAUCAUUAACGUGCCUAGCUGGGUUCUUCUUCGUUACAACUUGGAUUUGUUUUGCAGUUGGAGAGAUUCUGUUGUUGGCAGGAGUGAGUGUAGAGUCAGGGCAUCUGAAGAAUUGGUGGAAAACUAAACCCAGUUACCUUAGUGUUAGAGAAGGUUUGUUCUGUGGGGCAGGGGUGUU